ACGAUGUUUUGAUGUGUUCCAGAUGAAUCCCGGGGCCGCGCGCAGCUGGGACCCACUGGCUUUCAUCGCUGAUGCCGAGAUGCAUUCGUUACUUGCUGACCCUGGAUUUUUGUGCUGCCCUCAGUGUGGCCGAGGCAGCGUUACCAGUGAGGCCGUGGGCGCCGAGCUUUCUCCGCCCCCUUGAAGCCGAGGCACCUUAUUCUUACAUCCUGCGCUCCCUUUGCCGCCUUGAUCUGUCCUGGACCGAGAAAAAUGCAUGACCAUUUCCUGCCCUAACGUGUCCUGUUUCUGCCAAUCCUCUCUGAGCUCCUGCUCUGGGAGGGACGCCGCAGGGCGAUGCAGUGAUGUCCAGAAUUGCAGACUUUUUCGUGGACGGCACCCUUUGCCCUGAUAACGUGUCUUUUAUUUUGUAUCAUUUCUCUUGUAUCCAGAUAAGCC
Molecule: long non-coding RNA, 438 nt
Filed under: Sus scrofa (pig)
Lineage: Eukaryota; Metazoa; Chordata; Mammalia; Artiodactyla; Suidae
Description: lncRNA (ENSSSCG00015014031.1)
Source: RNAcentral